UGGGGAAUAUUGCACAAUGGGCGCAAGCCUGAUGCAGCCAUGUCGCGUGUAUGAAGAAGGCCUUCGGGUUGUAAAGUACUUUCAGCGGGGAGGAAGGGAGUAAAGUUAAUACCUUUGCUCAUUGACGUUACCCGCAGAAGAAGCACCGGCUAACUCCGUGCCAGCAGCCGCGGUAAUACGGAGGGUGCAAGCGUUAAUCGGAAUUACUGGGCGUAAAGCGCACGCAGGCGGUUUGUUAAGUCAGAUGUGAAAUCCCCGGGCUCAACCUGGGAACUGCAUCUGAUACUGGCAAGCUUGAGUCUCGUAGAGGGGGGUAGAAUUCCAGGUGUAGCGGUGAAAUGCGUAGAGAUCUGGAGGGAUACCGGUGGCGAAGGCGGCCCCCUGGACGAAGACUGACGCUCAGGUGCGAAAGCGUGGGGAGCAAACAGG
RNAcentral lists this ribosomal RNA (429 nucleotides) under Chloroflexota bacterium. Its description in RNAcentral is "Chloroflexi bacterium partial 16S ribosomal RNA". It matches the Rfam family "Bacterial small subunit ribosomal RNA", at positions 355 to 776 of the family's 1533-position model. The record is from RNAcentral. Lineage: Bacteria; Bacillati; Chloroflexota.